This 32-nucleotide non-coding RNA is filed under the name Homo sapiens (human). Lineage: Eukaryota; Metazoa; Chordata; Mammalia; Primates; Hominidae. The record is from RNAcentral.
UGGAUCAUUUCUACCCUCUGAAGAGGUACACC